Long non-coding RNA from Macrosteles quadrilineatus (aster leafhopper), 293 nucleotides. RefSeq lists it as uncharacterized. The record is from RefSeq and is a predicted model, not a curated record. NCBI's taxonomy places the organism in Eukaryota, Metazoa, Arthropoda, Insecta, Hemiptera, Cicadellidae. The transcript has 2 exons.
CCUUUGAUUAAACUUCUUCAUUAUAAAUUAUGAAAUUUAUUUAUGUUACAAUUACAGUUAUCAUGACUGUGACAGCAUAUUUUCUACAAGUAGAGGGAUGCGAAAAAGAAGGUGGUUUAUGUACUACGAACGGAAAGAUCAACGAUCAAGGUAGUUGUUGUGAAGGAUUUGUCUGCAACGCUGUGGCUAUCAGCGUUAAAGGUCGUUUCUGGGCAGGAACUUGUGCCAAGAAAGGCGAAAUACCUUGUAAUGAAAUAGGUUGCAAAAAUAAAUACGGCGUUGUAGCAGUCUGA